GUUUAAUUCGAAGAUACGCGCAGAACCUUACCAACACUUGACAUGUUCGUCGCGACUCUAAGAGAUUAGAGUUUUCGGUUCGGCCGGACGAAACACAGGUGCUGCAUGGCUGUCGUCAGCUCGUGUCGUGAGAUGUUGGGUUAAGUCCCGCAACGAGCGCAACCCUCACUUUUAGUUGCCAUCAUUAAGUUGGGCACUCUGAAAGAACUGCCAGUGAUAAGCUGGAGGAAGGUGGGGAUGACGUCAAGUCCUCAUGGCCCUUACGUGUUGGGCUACACACGUGCUACAAUGGUAUCUACAACAGGAAGCAAGACGGCGACGUCAAGCAAAUCCUUAAAAGAUACCUCAGUUCGGAUUGCACUCUGCAACUCGAGUGCAUGAAGCUGGAAUUACUAGUAAUCGUGGAUCAGCGUGCCACGGUGAAUGCGUUCCCGGGUCUUGUACACACCGCCCGUCACACCAUGGGAGUUGGUUCUACCUUAAGGCAAGGUUUUAAACCCUUGACCACGGUAUAGUCAGCGACUGGGGUG
This 530-nucleotide ribosomal RNA is filed under the name uncultured bacterium. Its description in RNAcentral is "bacterial SSU rRNA". It matches the Rfam family "Bacterial small subunit ribosomal RNA", at positions 944 to 1482 of the family's 1533-position model. The record is from RNAcentral.